This 317-nucleotide long non-coding RNA is filed under the name Hordeum vulgare. RNAcentral describes it as "long non-coding RNA (HVUL_LNC007183)". Lineage: Eukaryota; Viridiplantae; Streptophyta; Magnoliopsida; Poales; Poaceae. The record is from RNAcentral.
UUUGGGUCUAGAGCAAGAGGUAGCAUUGUUCCGGUUUGAUAAUUGGAAAUGAGAGUAUGUGAGAAUUGAGGAUGGCGAACAGAUGGUUGAUGAAAUCGAUCGACAAGAUGGCUGGACAAGCAAACAGGCUAUGUUUCGUGCAGAGCUUGUUGACCUGAAAUCAGAUUCUAAGGUUGGAUAUGUGCCCUCAAAGUUAGCUUCACAGAUGGUAGAUGAUGAUUGGGCUUCAGAGAGGCAGAUAAUGUCCAUGUGUACGGGUGAAGUUACAGUAUUACCUGAGGGGGUUGAUGCAUAAGAGGGUUCUGAUGGUGUUGCAA